This is a long non-coding RNA of Capsicum annuum, 393 nucleotides long. RefSeq lists it as uncharacterized. The record is from RefSeq and is a predicted model, not a curated record. NCBI's taxonomy places the organism in Eukaryota, Viridiplantae, Streptophyta, Magnoliopsida, Solanales, Solanaceae. The transcript is spliced from 2 exons.
ACGUUUCAUGAAGUCUUGAAUGUUUUGUGAAUAUUUUUCUAUCUCUGUUUCUGCACUCCAACCAAGUUUCCCUCUUUGUGCUCUUGUACAAAAGAUUCCUAAUCCUAGAGUCUUGAAGUAAGGGAUGCUGAACAGUUGAAUUAAAAUCUCACUAUGUACGAUCUAUUUUAUUAGCUGGGGCAAAAAGCAGAGAACACAACUUAUUCUUCUCGACUGAUGCUUAACUUAUUGAGGUGGAUUUGUGAUGGAUCUAUAUUAUUAGCUGGGGCAAAAAGCAGAGGCAGAUUCAAUAUUUAAAUUUUUUGGAUUUUCAUGUAAGAUAGAAAAUAAAACCAAAUAUUUAUUUAUUAAUUAUUUUUUAAAAAAUUAAAAAGUAAACAACAUUUAAUAGAU